GGUGCAUGCGUCGGGGAUCGGUUCCUUGUGGUCAUAAACAAAACGACUCUCGGCAACGGAUAUCUUGGCUCUCGCAUCGAUGAAGAACGUAGCGAAAUGCGAUACUUGGUGUGAAUUGCAGAAUCCCGUGAACCAUCGAGUCUUUGAACGCAAGU
Molecule: ribosomal RNA, 155 nt
Filed under: Clusia grandiflora
Lineage: Eukaryota; Viridiplantae; Streptophyta; Magnoliopsida; Malpighiales; Clusiaceae
Description: 5.8S ribosomal RNA
Rfam family: 5.8S ribosomal RNA (bases 45-155)
About the family: 5.8S ribosomal RNA (5.8S rRNA) is a component of the large subunit of the eukaryotic ribosome. It is transcribed by RNA polymerase I as part of the 45S precursor that also contains 18S and 28S rRNA. Functionally, it is thought that 5.8S rRNA may be involved in ribosome translocation.
Source: RNAcentral